Molecule: transfer RNA, 73 nt
Filed under: Bacteroidota bacterium
Lineage: Bacteria; Pseudomonadati; Bacteroidota
Also listed under: 6 other names
Description: tRNA-Thr
Rfam family: tRNA
About the family: Transfer RNA (tRNA) molecules are approximately 80 nucleotides in length.
Source: RNAcentral
GCUGGCGUAGCUCAGUUGGUAGAGCAGCUGAUUUGUAAUCAGCAGGUCGGGGGUUCGAGUCCCUCCGCCAGCU